This 2797-nucleotide ribosomal RNA is filed under the name Klebsiella pneumoniae. RNAcentral describes it as "23S ribosomal RNA". Lineage: Bacteria; Pseudomonadati; Pseudomonadota; Gammaproteobacteria; Enterobacterales; Enterobacteriaceae. The record is from RNAcentral.
UUAAGCGACUAAGCGUACACGGUGGAUGCCYUGGCAGUCAGAGGCGAUGAAGGACGUGCUAAUCUGCGAAAAGCGUCGGUAAGGUGAUAUGAACCGUUAUAACCGGCGAUGUCCGAAUGGGGAAACCCAGUGCAAUUCGUUGCACUAUCGUUAACUGAAUACAUAGGUUAACGAGGCGAACCGGGGGAACUGAAACAUCUAAGUACCCCGAGGAAAAGAAAUCAACCGAGAUUCCCCCAGUAGCGGCGAGCGAACGGGGAGCAGCCCAGAGUCUGAAUCAGCUUGUGUGUUAGUGGAACGGUCUGGAAAGUCCGACGGUACAGGGUGAUAGUCCCGUACACCAAAAUGCACAGGUUGUGAACUCGAAGAGUAGGGCGGGACACGUGGUAUCCUGUCUGAAUAUGGGGGGACCAUCCUCCAAGGCUAAAUACUCCUGACUGACCGAUAGUGAACCAGUACCGUGAGGGAAAGGCGAAAAGAACCCCGGCGAGGGGAGUGAAAAAGAACCUGAAACCGUGUACGUACAAGCAGUGGGAGCACCUUCGGGUGUGACUGCGUACCUUUUGUAUAAUGGGUCAGCGACUUAUAUUCUGUAGCAAGGUUAACCGUAUAGGGGAGCCGCAGGGAAACCGAGUCUUAACUGGGCGUUAAGUUGCAGGGUAUAGACCCGAAACCCGGUGAUCUAGCCAUGGGCAGGUUGAAGGUUGGGUAACACUAACUGGAGGACCGAACCGACUAAUGUUGAAAAAUUAGCGGAUGACUUGUGGCUGGGGGUGAAAGGCCAAUCAAACCGGGAGAUAGCUGGUUCUCCCCGAAAGCUAUUUAGGUAGCGCCUCGUGAAUUCAUCUUCGGGGGUAGAGCACUGUUUCGGCUAGGGGGUCAUCCCGACUUACCAACCCGAUGCAAACUACGAAUACCGAAGAAUGUUAUCACGGGAGACACACGGCGGGUGCUAACGUCCGUCGUGAAGAGGGAAACAACCCAGACCGCCAGCUAAGGUCCCAAAGUCAUGGUUAAGUGGGAAACGAUGUGGGAAGGCACAGACAGCCAGGAUGUUGGCUUAGAAGCAGCCAUCAUUUAAAGAAAGCGUAAUAGCUCACUGGUCGAGUCGGCCUGCGCGGAAGAUGUAACGGGGCUAAACCAUGCACCGAAGCUGCGGCAGCGACACUAUGUGUUGUUGGGUAGGGGAGCGUUCUGUAAGCCUGCGAAGGUGWSCUGUGAGGSWUGCUGGAGGUAUCAGAAGUGCGAAUGCUGACAUAAGUAACGAUAAAGCGGGUGAAAAGCCCGCUCGCCGGAAGACCAAGGGUUCCUGUCCAACGUUAAUCGGGGCAGGGUGAGUCGACCCCUAAGGCGAGGCCGAAAGGCGUAGUCGAUGGGAAACAGGUUAAUAUUCCUGUACUUGGUGUUACUGCGAAGGGGGGACGGAGAAGGCUAUGUUAGCCGGGCGACGGUUGUCCCGGUUUAAGCAUGUAGGCUGRUUGUCCAGGCAAAUCCGGAUAAUCAAGGCUGAGGUGUGAUGACGAGGCACUACGGUGCUGAAGUAACAAAUGCCCUGCUUCCAGGAAAAGCCUCUAAGCAUCAGGUAACAUCAAAUCGUACCCCAAACCGACACAGGUGGUCAGGUAGAGAAUACCAAGGCGCUUGAGAGAACUCGGGUGAAGGAACUAGGCAAAAUGGUGCCGUAACUUCGGGAGAAGGCACGCUGGUGUGUAGGUGAAGYCCCUGCGGRUGGAGCUGAGACCAGUCGAAGAUACCAGCUGGCUGCAACUGUUUAUUAAAAACACAGCACUGUGCAAACACGAAAGUGGACGUAUACGGUGUGACGCCUGCCCGGUGCCGGAAGGUUAAUUGAUGGGGUUAUCCGUAAGGAGAAGCUCUUGAUCGAAGCCCCGGUAAACGGCGGCCGUAACUAUAACGGUCCUAAGGUAGCGAAAUUCCUUGUCGGGUAAGUUCCGACCUGCACGAAUGGCGUAAUGAUGGCCAGGCUGUCUCCACCCGAGACUCAGUGAAAUUGAACUCGCUGUGAAGAUGCAGUGUACCCGCGGCAAGACGGAAAGACCCCGUGAACCUUUACUAUAGCUUGACACUGAACAUUGAGCCUUGAUGUGUAGGAUAGGUGGGAGGCUUUGAAGCGUGGACGCCAGUCUGCGUGGAGCCAACCUUGAAAUACCACCCUUUAAUGUUUGAUGUUCUAACGUUGGCCCCUUACCGGGGUUGCGGACAGUGUCUGGUGGGUAGUUUGACUGGGGCGGUCUCCUCCCAAAGCGUAACGGAGGAGCACGAAGGUUAGCUAAUCCUGGUCGGACAUCAGGAGGUUAGUGCAAUGGCAUAAGCUAGCUUGACUGCGAGCGUGACGGCGCGAGCAGGUGCGAAAGCAGGUCAUAGUGAUCCGGUGGUUCUGAAUGGAAGGGCCAUCGCUCAACGGAUAAAAGGUACUCCGGGGAUAACAGGCUGAUACCGCCCAAGAGUUCAUAUCGACGGCGGUGUUUGGCACCUCGAUGUCGGCUCAUCACAUCCUGGGGCUGAAGUAGGUCCCAAGGGUAUGGCUGUUCGCCAUUUAAAGUGGUACGCGAGCUGGGUUUAGAACGUCGUGAGACAGUUCGGUCCCUAUCUGCCGUGGGCGCUGGAGAAUUGAGGGGGGCUGCUCCUAGUACGAGAGGACCGGAGUGGACGCAUCACUGGUGUUCGGGUUGUCAUGCCAAUGGCACUGCCCGGUAGCUAAAUGCGGAAGAGAUAAGUGCUGAAAGCAUCUAAGCACGAAACUUGCCCCGAGAUGAGUUCUCCCUGAGACUUUAAG